UUUCGCAAUGCCCGAAAGGGUGACGAAGCGACGCCGCGUGCGGGAAGAAGGCCUUCGGGUUGUAAACCGCUGUCGGGAGUUAAGAAAUGCAAGGGUGUUAAUAGUAUCCUUGCUUGACUAAGGCUCCGGAGGAAGCCACGGCUAACUCUGUGCCAGCAGCCGCGGUAAUACAGAGGCGGCAAGCAUUGUUCGGAAUUAUUGGGCGUAAAGAGCACGUAGGCGGCUGUGUAAGUCGGUUGUGAAAGCCUUCCGCUCAACGGGAGAACGGCAUCCGAUACUGCAUAGCUUGAGUGCGGGAGGGGAGAGUGGAACUUCUGGUGGAGCGGUGAAAUGCGUAGAUAUCAGAAGGAACACCGGCGGCGAAGGCGACUCUCUGGCCCGUAACUGACGCUGAGUGUGCGAAAGCUAGGGGAGCAAACGGGAUUAGAUACCCCGGUAGUCCUAGCCGUAAACGAUGGGCACUAAGUAGAGGGGUUUUA
RNAcentral lists this ribosomal RNA (479 nucleotides) under uncultured anaerobic ammonium-oxidizing bacterium. RNAcentral's name for it is "bacterial SSU rRNA". It matches the Rfam family "Bacterial small subunit ribosomal RNA", at positions 364 to 833 of the family's 1533-position model. The record is from RNAcentral.